RNAcentral lists this ribosomal RNA (454 nucleotides) under uncultured bacterium. RNAcentral describes it as "partial 16S ribosomal RNA". It matches the Rfam family "Bacterial small subunit ribosomal RNA", at positions 28 to 507 of the family's 1533-position model. The record is from RNAcentral.
GAUGAACGCUGACAGCAUGCUUAACACAUGCAAGUCUACUUGAACUUCGGUUUGGGUGGCGGACGGGUGAGUAACGCGUAAAGAACUUGCCUCACAGUUAGGGACAACAUUUGGAAACGAAUGCUAAUACCUGAUAUUAUGAUUUUAGGGCAUCCUAGGACUAUGAAAGCUAUAUGUGCUGUGAGAGAGCUUUGCGUCCCAUUAGCUAGUUGGAGAGGUAACGGCUCACCAAGGCGAUGAUGGGUAGCCGGCCUGAGAGGGUGAACGGCCACAAGGGGACUGAGACACGGCCCUUACUCCUACGGGAGGCAGCAGUGGGGAAUAUUGGACAAUGGACCAAAAGUCUGAUCCAGCAAUUCUGUGUGCACGAUGACGUUUUUCGGAAUGUAAAGUGCUUUCAGUUGGGAAGAAAAAAAUGACGGUACCAACAGAAGAAGAGACGGCUAAAUACGUG